Misgurnus anguillicaudatus (oriental weatherfish) is the source of this 3857-nucleotide non-coding RNA. NCBI's taxonomy places the organism in Eukaryota, Metazoa, Chordata, Actinopteri, Cypriniformes, Cobitidae. The record is from RefSeq and is a predicted model, not a curated record.
AUCAUAUUAAAAAUAAUAUUGAACAAUCAAAUAAACAAUUAUAUGGAUACUAAUGAUUAUAAAAUGAUUAUGAUGAUUAUGUAUAAAACACAAUAAUAAAAACAUUCUGCACGUGAGGAUCUAAGGUAGGAUUCUUUCAAUAUGAAGACUCAUGAUAUGUCAUUACCAUACUGUAAAAAAUUCUUUGCUGCUUUUUUUGUUAAAUCAAUAAUAGGUCAUUUUAACCUAUUAUUGUUCUUGACUAGAGAUGAGUUGUUAUAACUACAGAUGAGUUGUUAUAACUUAAAAUAUAAUUGAAAAAAGUCAACUUCAUUUUAUAAGUUGUAACAACUCAUCUCUUGUCAAGAUAAAUAAAGGUAAGUUGACAUAACUUGUAAACUUGAGAUGAUUCAACAAAAAAUGUAAGACAGCGGAGAUUCUUCCAGUGUAUGUACAGAACUCUUACUAUUCAUCUAUGUUUAGGUAAAUACAGUGUUUUUAUUCUAUUGCACGCACCUUUAAUUACUUUUUUCUCAUUCCUUACAUUCAUGUGCCUUAAAGUCAAUAAGUAAUUUUUUAUCUAGAUUUUUAUAUGAUAUACAGAUGAUAUACUUCUGAUAUAUAUUUUGAAGCACUUAUCCCUUGUUUUGUCAUUUGUCAGUGUAUAAGCGGCAGUACAGUAGAUAAAUGAGCACAUGUUUCGAUUUCUAAACAUUUUACAAAUAAUGAACUGCGCUAAACUACGACUGCUAUGGGCUUUAAUGAGAUACAGCAUCCUUCAACAUUUUAUUUUGGUUGACUUUAUUGCUUGUGUUUAGAUAUUUAUAUACCAGUGGGAAGCCAGGUGGAGACUCAUUGAAAUACUUCCAGACACAUAUCUAAAGGGAUGCUUUUAAGCCGUGCCAUCAUCUGGUGAUUUGUCUAGGGAGACCAAAAGCUUGUGUGUUGCUUCCAGUAGAUUUCUCACAGCAUGGUUAAAUUCAAUCUAUACAUGAUCAUUACAUGUGUCUGAUUCACAAAGAGUAACAGCAAAUUUACAUGAAUCUAUUACUAAGAUCAUUUGAAGUUAAAACAUUUGAUAGUUUGAAUAUAAAGCAAUUCGAUUUGUCCGCACAUCAAUAGUUGAAUCUCAUUGGUUCUCCUUUUUUUUUGGAAAAAGUAUAGGAAAGAAAAGAGUAGGGUUAAUAGAAAUAAGUGCUAGUAUUACUGGGUCAGAAGACGAAAAAGACGUGAUUCUUAAAGACACAACAUCUCAGUGGCUAAAUCAGCUCAAAAUAUUAAAGGUUUUUGUCACAGGUGAUGUUUUGAACCAACGACGGGCGGAACCCGUCUUCCACAUCCUUGGUUGAACCGACGACGGGCGGAACCCGUCUUCCACAUUUCAUUUCCGGGGUUUCCCCAAAGUCAAAAUUAAGCCUGAUUGCGCGCAGACGGACCACGCUGGUCGGAUCGCUCUCCUGGGGAAGAGAGGAAGAGACAAUCAGCUGACGAAGGAAUAUUGUGGAGUUUCAGUGAGAAAGAGUGGACACAGAGCCAUCAAGAGCGCAGUGAACAGAGGUUAUUGGCAACAAAGCGUGAGUAACCGCUGUGGUACUUAUCUGUACAUAACUUGUAUGAAGAGUUGUCCUGGUGUGUGCUUUUUGUGUUUCUUGAGGUCCCUGGCCCCACUGGAGAGGAAAGCGUGGGUGAGCCGCGGGUUGACCGGAAGCACGGACGAAGCACCGUUCACCAGUAAGCCAGUGGCCCUGUGGGAAAAAAGGAAGUGCAGGUGAGCCAGGGGAGUGAUAACCAACACGCCGGGCCUGUGAAUAUCACACAUCUCUCCCUCAUUUGUGAUCCAGUUGUUGCCCAACCAUCCUCUCGAGGUCGUCGUAGUCAGGUGGCAAGGACGAUCUAAAAUUCACGUGAAAUUGUAUAAGAGUGCUGUGGGUGAGUUUCACUGAUUGAUGGUGUUUACGCUUUACUUGCUGUGUGUAUGCUGUGCUUGUAGCGUUCAAACUGCCGAGCCUCCGACGAGUCACGAGAUGACGACAUCCGUUGUGGCCUGAGUCCUACAGAGAGAGAGAAAACCAAGCCCGGUGCCCGGGGUGUGACAACGAGAGCUUCGUUUGUACACAGAACAGACAGUGGUAAAACACAGUGAGUAGUAUCAAGUGUGUACCGUGCGGAUUGUGGGUCGUAACGGUGUGUGUACUGACCUCUUCAACAGAAGCUUGUGGUGAACGGAGCCCCGACGAAAGUUCGCCCCAGCUUGUGACCCCGGUCGUGGAAGAAGGAGGGGGAGUUUGGGAAGCGUUCGGCUCCGGUCAUCGGACCCACUAGUCCCUACGACGCCCGGACAGCCAAACUGGAGGGGCGAAGGAAUACGGUACACUGACACUGUAGCGAAAUCCACUGUAUAUAGCAACUACCUACCUGAACCAGUGAAGCUCUGUGUGGGAACGAGGAUCCCCCGGCACUGUGAGUAACGCAACCUGUGAAAUAAACCUGUUCUGUGCUUAUAGCAACUACCUACUUGCACCAGUGAAGCUUUGUGUGGGAACGAGGAUCCCCCGGCACUGUGAGUAACGCAACCUGUGGAAUAAAUCUGUUCUGUGCUUAUAGCAACUACCUACUUGCACCAGUGAAGCUUUGUGUGGGAACGAGGAUCCCCCGGCACUGUGAGUAACGCAACCUGUGGAAUAAAUCUGUUCUGUGCUUAUAGCAACUACCUACUUGCACCAGUGAAGCUUUGUGUGGGAACGAGGAUCCCCCGGCACUGUGAGUAACGCAACCUGUGAAAUAAAUAUGUCCUGUGCUUAUAGCAACUACCUACCUGCACCAGUGAAGCUUUGUGUGGGAACGAGGAUCCCCCGGCACUGUGAGUAACGCGACCUGUGAAGUAACCCUGUUCUGUGCUUAUAGCAACUACCUACCUGCACCAGUGAAGCUUUGUGUGGGAACGAGGAUCCCCCGGCACUGUGAGUAAUGCAACCUGUGAAAUAAACCUGUGCUGUGCUUAUAGCAACUACCUACCUGAACCAGCGAAGCUCUGUGUGGGAACGAGGAUCCCCCGGCAUUGUGAGUAACGCCACCUGUGAACUAAACCUGUACUGUGCUUAUAGCAACUACCUACCUGAACCAGUGAAGCUCUGUGUGGGAACGAGGAUCCCCCGGCACUGUGAGUAAUGCAACCUGUGAAAUAAACCUGUGCUGUGCUUAUAGCAACUACCUACCUGAACCAGCGAAGCUCUGUGUGGGAACGAGGAUCCCCCGGCAUUGUGAGUAACGCCACCUGUGAACUAAACCUGUACUGUGCUUAUAGCAACUACCUACCUGAACCAGUGAAGCUCUGUGUGGGAACGAGGAUCCCCCGGCACUGUGAGUAAUGCAACCUGUGAAAUAAACCUGUGCUGUGCUUAUAGCAACUACCUACCUGAACCAGCGAAGCUCUGUGUGGGAACGAGGAUCCCCCGGCAUUGUGAGUAACGCCACCUGUGAACUAAACCUGUACUGUGCUUAUAGCAACUACCUACCUGAACCAGUGAAGCUCUGUGUGGGAACGAGGAUCCCCCGGCACUGUGAGUAACGCAACCUGUGGGAUAAACCUGUGCUGUGCUUAAGGCAACUACCUACCUGCAUCAGUGAAGCUCUGUAUGGGAACGAGGAUCCCCCAGUACUGUGAGUAGCAAAGGAGUACUUACCCUGGUCUGAUUGUGUUUGAUUCUGCCUCCAGGAGAAGCGGAGCGUGCCACGGAUUGCUGGGCCAGAGCCCCGGUCCCCAGUCUUUUCCCCAAGUGGCCCUGGAGGCAAAGAAGAGCCAUAUUAGUUUUAAAUUUCCCUUUUUCCCUUCCCCCUUUUCCCUUUUUAAAUAUUUAAUAAAGUUUGUUUUAAUUAUA